RNAcentral lists this ribosomal RNA (429 nucleotides) under Verrucomicrobiota bacterium. RNAcentral's name for it is "Verrucomicrobia bacterium partial 16S ribosomal RNA". It matches the Rfam family "Bacterial small subunit ribosomal RNA", at positions 355 to 776 of the family's 1533-position model. The record is from RNAcentral. Lineage: Bacteria; Pseudomonadati; Verrucomicrobiota.
UAGGGAAUCUUCCGCAAUGGACGAAAGUCUGACGGAGCAACGCCGCGUGAGUGAAGAAGGAUUUCGGUUCGUAAAACUCUGUUGUUAGGGAAGAAAAAAUGUAUAGUAACUAUAUACAAAAGAGACGGUACCUAACCAGAAAGCCACGGCUAACUACGUGCCAGCAGCCGCGGUAAUACGUAGGUGGCAAGCGUUGUCCGGAAUUAUUGGGCGUAAAGCGCGCGCAGGUGGUUUAGAAAGUCUGAUGUGAAAGCCCACGGCUCAACCGUAGAGGGUCAUUGGAAACUAAUAAACUUGAGUGCAGGAGAGAAAAGUGGAAUUCCUAGUGUAGCGGUGAAAUGCGUAGAGAUUAGGAGGAACACCGGUGGCGAAAGCGGCUUUUUGGCCUGCAACUGACACUGAGGCGCGAAAGCGUGGGGAGCAAACAGG